RNAcentral lists this long non-coding RNA (768 nucleotides) under Marmota monax (woodchuck). The record is from RNAcentral. Lineage: Eukaryota; Metazoa; Chordata; Mammalia; Rodentia; Sciuridae.
GUGCCCCUAAAUUCAAUCCCUGGUUAAAAAAAAAAAAAAAACAGGCUUGGUUGAACAGCACGGAAACCAUUGGGAACCUGUUUCUACCCAAUAUAGUUGCCCACUAGGGAGGAGGAAACAGCACAACUGCUCCCUUCUCAUCAGCUACGACUAGAUUCUGACUCAGGAGAAGUAGGGCUUUGAGGAAAUUUGGGACAAAAAAUAGAUAGCAAUAUUUCAUCAAGUUCAGAACUCAACUAAUGUACCAUGUGUGUUUAUUUUAUGUUCCACUAAAAAGAAACCACUUUAUGUAACAUGCCACCAGUUGUGAGAUAUAUUCAAAAAUCAGAUACUAUCGAUAUAGCUCAGUAGUAGAGCACUUGCCUAAUGCAAGGCCCUGUGUUCCAUCAAUCUUGAUGCCACCAAAAACAAAAAAGCCAUCUCCAUUGUCACCAGGUAUUAGAUUUAGCAGACAGUUUCAAAACAACUAUUAUAGAUAAGUUAAACAACUACAGGAAACCAUAUUAAUAAAUUUGAAGAAAAUCAAUAAAAGUAACAAUCUCAGCAAAAAAGAGAUGAGUCAAAUGGAAAAUCAGGGGUUAAAAAGUAAAAUAACUACUAAGAAAAACAAAAUGGUAAGACAUCAGGAAACUUGAAGAUAGGUCAUUAGUAAAUAACCCAUCUAAAGAAGAAUGCAUGGAGUUGGAAGAAACAUGAAUAGAGCAUCUGAGACCUGUCAACCAGUUCCAGGCAUGGGAAGGGCAGACGAGAAGAAAUGACAGAGAGAGG